AUGAUUAAAGAUAGCUUGCUAUUUUUAUGAAGAGCGGCGAACGGGUGAGUAACGCGUGGGAAAUCUGCCGAGUAGCGGGGGACAACGUUUGGAAACGAACGCUAAUACCGCAUAACAAUGAGAAUCGCAUGAUUCUUAUUUAAAAGAAGCAAUUGCUUCACUACUUGAUGAUCCCGCGUUGUAUUAGCUAGUUGGUAGUGUAAAGGACUACCAAGGCGAUGAUACAUAGCCGACCUGAGAGGGUGAUCGGCCACACUGGGACUGAGACACGGCCCAGACUCCUACGGGAGGCAGCAGUAGGGAAUCUUCGGCAAUGGGGGCAACCCUGACCGAGCAACGCCGCGUGAGUGAAGAAGGUUUUCGGAUCGUAAAACUCUGUUGUUAGAGAAGAACGUUAA
This 398-nucleotide ribosomal RNA is filed under the name Lactococcus garvieae. RNAcentral's name for it is "bacterial SSU rRNA". It matches the Rfam family "Bacterial small subunit ribosomal RNA", at positions 66 to 455 of the family's 1533-position model. Lineage: Bacteria; Bacillati; Bacillota; Bacilli; Lactobacillales; Streptococcaceae. The record is from RNAcentral.